GGGCGGUGCCGGGGCGGGGCGGGGCGUCGGGCUUGGUGCCCGCCUUGCUUCGCAGCCAUCGAAACCUCGGCGGAGCUGGCGCGCGCCGGGGACGGGCGAGGGGCGCCGCCAAGCAGCGAUGCCGACCACGGGCGCCAGGGCAGAAGCCGGGCCCCGGGUCUCAGCCCCGGGUCUUGGCCGGGAAGGGUCUGCGGAGGGCGUUCCGGGGGGCGGGGCCAGGGUGCAGCUAGCCCGCGCCCUGCAGGGGGCGAUCCAGGCACGGCGUAGACCCGUCCUCGCGGGUCCGGAAGGGGAAGAAGCGAGGCCAGGGGUCCGGCGGCCCGGCGAGCGGACGUGCGCGCGCGCCUGCGCGCCUGCGCGCUCUGCGGGCCGCGGUCCCGCGGCUAUUGGGUCACCAGCGUUACCCCGGCAGCUCCCCCACUUGACCAGGCACCCGGAUCUUCCUACGCCAGGCCCCGCGGGUCGUGCCAUUUGAUCUAGAUGUUUGAGGUCUGUCUGUGGGCUGGGAGGCCCUAGUUAACGUUCUCACCUUGCUCUCUCAUUGUGGCCAAGUGAUUCCUGUGCUAUCUGGGAUGACUUAGCUACCCUGCACUGUGGUGCCAUCAAGUCAUUAUAAUGUCCUUGGCCCUACGACAGCAGAGGCCUCUCAAUGUCUAGAACUCUAAAAUCAGGGCCUACCAGACAUGGAAUGAAUAAAGAAGAUGUGGUACAGAUAUAUAGUGGAAUAUUACUC
This is a long non-coding RNA of Bos taurus (domestic cattle), 733 nucleotides long. The record is from Ensembl. Lineage: Eukaryota; Metazoa; Chordata; Mammalia; Artiodactyla; Bovidae.